RNAcentral lists this long non-coding RNA (258 nucleotides) under Rattus norvegicus (Norway rat). Its description in RNAcentral is "long non-coding RNA NONRATT001342". Lineage: Eukaryota; Metazoa; Chordata; Mammalia; Rodentia; Muridae. The record is from RNAcentral.
UUCAAGACAGGGUCUCACUGUGUAGCUCUAGCUGUCCUGGAACUCACAAUGAAAACCAGACUGGCCUCAAACUUACAGAGAUCCACUUGCCUCUGCCUCCUGAGUGCUAGGACUAAAGGCCUGCUCCACCAUACAAGAUUUUUAAUCUGUGGUUAUGGGCUGCCUUUAAUCCUAGCACUCUGCUCCAGAGGUCCAGGCAGGUGGCGUUUUGUGAGUUCAAGGACAGCAUGGGCUACAUAGUGAGAACAAAAACAAAAA